RNAcentral lists this ribosomal RNA (425 nucleotides) under uncultured bacterium. Its description in RNAcentral is "bacterial SSU rRNA". It matches the Rfam family "Bacterial small subunit ribosomal RNA", at positions 354 to 796 of the family's 1533-position model. The record is from RNAcentral.
GUGGGGAAUAUUGGGCAAUGGGCGAAAGCCUGACCCAGCAACGCCGCGUGAAGGAAGAAGGUCUUCGGAUCGUAAACUUCUAUCCUUGGUGAAGAUAAUGACGGUAGCCGAGAAGGAAGCCCCGGCUAACUACGUGCCUGCAGCCGCGGUAAUACGUAGGGGGCAAGCGUUGUCCGGAAUGAUUGGGCGUAAAGGGCGCGUAGGCGGCCUGGUAAGUCUGGAGUGAAAGUCCUGCUUUUAAGGUGGGAAUUGCUUUGGAUACUGUCGGGCUUGAGUGCAGGAGAGGUAAGUGGAAUUCCCGGUGUAGCGGUGAAAUGCGUAGAGAUCGGGAGGAACACCAGUGGCGAAGGCGACUUACUGGACUGUAACUGACGCUGAGGCGCGAAAGUGUGGGGAGCAAACAGGAUUAGAUACCCUUGUAGUCC